This is a long non-coding RNA of Rosa rugosa (rugosa rose), 1114 nucleotides long. RefSeq lists it as uncharacterized. The transcript has 2 exons. The record is from RefSeq and is a predicted model, not a curated record. Lineage: Eukaryota; Viridiplantae; Streptophyta; Magnoliopsida; Rosales; Rosaceae.
CCUCUCGGCCGCAUCCUCUCUCUCUCUCUCUUUCUCCCCCGACCUCUCGCACUCUCUCUCUCUCUCUCUUUCUCUCUGCCAUCGCCGGAAACCACCAUUUCUGGUCACCACCUUGCAAAACCGCCACCACCAAUCGAACCAGGACGGGAUUCCGACCUAAACCCAGCAAGAAUCACCGGCAUGCACCGCCUCCAGCUACUGCAUGCAACCACCACAGUUUCAGCCACCAUGCCUAGCCGGAAAGACUACUUCCAGUCACUUUCUCCACUCACCGCCACCACCACUCGAUCCAGCACCCAAAACAAACCAAACUUGAGCCUCACCUCUCGACAUGUAUCGCCCACAGCCACCGUACACGACCAUCACAGUCGCGACACCACUACUCCUCCACUUUCUUCAAUUUCCGGCUAUUUCCUCGCCCUUCCGCCACCAUAGUUCUACUCGACCAGCAAAGCGGAGCAAAACCCAGAAACCCCUCUGCCUGCCGACGCCUGACGACGCCGUUCGAGCAUCAUCGGAGCUCUCGGCUUCACAUGUCUUCGUUUUCCGGCCUCCAGUCCAAAUCGAGCGAAACCACCAUCAAGAGUAGAAUCAGCGCCUUGUCAAACACCAAAUCCCUAGGGCCCCGACCUCUAACUCCGACCAGAGCCACCUCGUCCGCCGCACGCGCCUCUAGCUCCGCCGCUCACGGCUGUUGGAGCUUCCGACUGCCUUUAUUAGGUAAUCUUCAUGUUUCGCUUUGAUUGGAGCUUUAGGUUUGACGUGAAAUGAAAUCCCUAACUCUGUCAUUUAAUUGGGAUUGUGUGAGGUUUGUGGAAUCUGCGGUUUUGAAGAAUUGGGAGAAGAAGGAAUGGUUGGGUCAGUUUCAAUUUGAAUCGGAAAUGGUGUUAAAACAAUCGUGGUGGUGAAUUGCUGCAGCGAUGAAUUGGUCUCUGAACUGGAAAAGAAGAAUGGUAAGGGGACUGUGCAUCUGGGAUCUAUAUGGUUGUGUGCUGUUUGUAUUGAUAGAAGUUAUGGCAUUACUGAGUAAACAGAAUGAGAUAUGGUUAUGCUGCUUGUGUAUUAACUGUUAUGUUGGAAACUUGGCAUGAAUAAGUAUAUGAAUAAGUAUGAA